Molecule: long non-coding RNA, 372 nt
Filed under: Gossypium raimondii (Peruvian cotton)
Lineage: Eukaryota; Viridiplantae; Streptophyta; Magnoliopsida; Malvales; Malvaceae
Description: long non-coding RNA (GRAI_LNC000234)
Source: RNAcentral
GACCUCAGAGAAAUUUAGCGAUGUACUUUUCUUUUGAUAACGUGGCAUGUACCUAAGUAAUGUUUAUACCUAAGUGAUGUAUAGGGAUUAGUCAAUUUGAAUGUUUGUAUCUAUGAUAUUGCUAAAGGAAGAUGUGUGAGUAUGUGAUAAUGUUUGGCUUUUAAAAUGGUUAAGUAUGAAUAUGUUUGGUAAUAUGUAUGUUUAGAUGAUAAAUCAUGCAUGGAAAUCAUGAAAGAGUAAAAAUUUGUAAAGAAACAGAUUUCAAGCAGCUACAGUGAUGUGACUUUGAAAAAUCACCUAGGAUAGUAUAAAAUUAAUUAGAGGGUGAAUGAUAUAUGGAAUUAAAUCUUGUUGAGUCUAUUUUCAUGGAAA